RNAcentral lists this ribosomal RNA (497 nucleotides) under uncultured bacterium. Its description in RNAcentral is "partial 16S ribosomal RNA". It matches the Rfam family "Bacterial small subunit ribosomal RNA", at positions 28 to 507 of the family's 1533-position model. The record is from RNAcentral.
GAUGAACGCUGGCGGCGUGCCUAAUACAUGCAAGUCGAGCGAACAGACGAGGAGCUUGCUCCUCUGACGUUAGCGGCGGACGGGUGAGUAACACGUGGAUAACCUACCUAUAAGACUGGGAUAACUUCGGGAAACCGGAGCUAAUACCGGAUAAUAUAUUGAACCGCAUGGUUCAAUAGUGAAAGACGGUUUUGCUGUCACUUAUAGAUGGAUCCGCGCCGCAUUAGCUAGGUGGUAAGGUAACGGCUUACCAAGGCAACGAUGCGUAGCCGACCUGAGGGGGUGAUCGGCCACACUGGAACUGAGAAGCGGUCCAGACUCCUACGGGAGGCAGCAGUAGGGAAUCUUCCGCAAUGGACGAAAGCCUGAUGGAGCAACGCCGCGUGAGUGAUGAAGGUCUUCGGAUCGUAAAACUCUGUUAUUAGGGAAGAACAAAUGUGUAAGUAAGUAUGCACGUAUUGACGGUACCUAAUCAGAAAGCCACGGCUAACUACGUG